UACAGAGGUCCCAAGCGUUGUUCGGAUUCAUUGGGCGUAAAGGGUGCGUAGGUGGCGUCGUAAGUCGGGUGUGAAAUCUCGGGGCUUAACUCCGAAACUGCAUUCGAUACUGCGGUGCUUGAGGACUGGAGAGGAGACUGGAAUUUACGGUGUAGCAGUGAAAUGCGUAGAGAUCGUAAGGAAGACCAGUGGCGAAGGCGGGUCUCUGGACCAGUACUGACGCUGAGGCACGAAAGCGUGGGGAGCAAACAGG
RNAcentral lists this ribosomal RNA (253 nucleotides) under uncultured bacterium. RNAcentral describes it as "partial 16S ribosomal RNA". It matches the Rfam family "Bacterial small subunit ribosomal RNA", at positions 524 to 776 of the family's 1533-position model. The record is from RNAcentral.